CUACGGGGUGCAGCAGUGGGGAAUAUUGCGCAAUGGACGAAAGUCUGACGCAGCGACGCCGCGUGGAGGAUGAAGGUUUUCGGAUCGUAAACUCCUGUCAAGAGGGAAGAAACCUAUUAGGAAUAAUACUCCUAGUAAUUGACGGUACCUCUAGAGGAAGCACCGGCUAAUUCAGUGCCAGCAGCCGCGGUAAUACUGAAGGUGCAAGCGUUAAUCGGAAUCACUGGGCGUAAAGCGCUCGUAGGUGGCUUUGUAAGUCAGAUGUGAAAGCCCACGGCUCAACCGUGGAAUUGCAUUUGAUACUGCAUCGCUAGAGUAUAGGAGAGGGAAGUGGAAUUUCUGGUGUAGGAGUGAAAUCCGUAGAGAUCAGAAGGAACACCGGUGGCGAAGGCGACUUCCUGGACUAUUACUGACACUGAGGAGCGAAAGCGUGGGGAGCAAACAGGAUUAGAUACCCUAGUAGUC
Molecule: ribosomal RNA, 465 nt
Filed under: uncultured bacterium
Lineage: Bacteria
Description: partial 16S ribosomal RNA
Rfam family: Bacterial small subunit ribosomal RNA
Source: RNAcentral